Molecule: ribosomal RNA, 527 nt
Filed under: uncultured microorganism
Description: bacterial SSU rRNA
Rfam family: Bacterial small subunit ribosomal RNA
Source: RNAcentral
GAGUUUGAUCCUGGCUCAGAACGAACGCUGGCGGCGGGCCUAACACAUGCAAGUCGCACGAGAACGGUGGGCUUCGGCCUACCUAGUGAAGUGGCGCACGGGUGAGUAACGCGUGGGUAAUCUGCCCCCGGGUUGGGGAUAACGUUCCGAAAGGGGCGCUAAUACCGAAUAAGACCACGGCCACUGCGGUGGCAGGGGUCAAAGCGGGCCUCUACAUGUGAGCUCGCGCCUGGGGAGGAGCUCGCGUCCCAUUAGCUUGUUGGUGAGGUAACGGCUCACCAAGGCUACGAUGGGUAGCUGGUCUGAGAGGAUGAUCAGCCACACUGGGACUGAAACACGGCCCAGACUCCUACGGGAGGCAGCAGUGAGGAAUCUUGCGCAAUGGGGGAAACCCUGACGCAGCCACGCCGCGUGGGUGAAGAAGGCCUCGGUCGUAACGACCGUCGUCUGGUGGGAGGAACCCGGUACGCGGACGUAACUAAUACCGUACGGUCGUCGACGGUACCGACCAAACGGAAGACGACCGG